GACGAACGCUGGCGGCGUGCUUAACACAUGCAAGUCGAACGGAAAGGCCCUGCUUUUGUGGGGUGCUCGAGUGGCGAACGGGUGAGUAACACGUGAGUAACCUGCCCUUGACUUUGGGAUAACUUCAGGAAACUGGGGCUAAUACCGGAUAGGAGCUCCUGCUGCAUGGUGGGGGUUGGAAAGUUUCGGCGGUUGGGGAUGGACUCGCGGCUUAUCAGCUUGUUGGUGGGGUAGUGGCUUACCAAGGCUUUGACGGGUAGCCGGCCUGAGAGGGUGACCGGCCACAUUAGGACUGAGAUACGGACCAGACUCCUACGGGAGGCAGCAGUGGGGAAUAUUGCCCAAUGGGCGGAAGCCUGAUGCAGCAACGCCGCGUGCGGGAUGACGGCCUUCGGGUUGUAAACCGCUUUCGCCUGUGACGAAGCGUGAGUGACGGUAAUGGGUAAAGAAGCACCGGCUAACUACGUG
RNAcentral lists this ribosomal RNA (468 nucleotides) under uncultured bacterium. RNAcentral describes it as "partial 16S ribosomal RNA". It matches the Rfam family "Bacterial small subunit ribosomal RNA", at positions 28 to 507 of the family's 1533-position model. The record is from RNAcentral.